AACGAACGCUGGCGGCAUGCCUAACACAUGCAAGUCGAACGACACCUUCGGGUCUAGUGGCUCACGGGUGCGUAACGCGUGGGAACGUGCCCUUAGGUUCGGAAUAACUCCCUGAAAGGGGUGCUAAUACCGGAUAAUUUCUUCGGACCAAAGAUUUAUCGCCUUUGGAUGGGCCCGCGUUGGAUUAGCUGGUGGGUAGGGUAAAAGCCUACCAAGGCGACGAUACAUAGCUGGGCUGAGAGGAUGAUCAGCCACACUGGGACUGAGACACGGCCCAGACUCCUACGGGAGGCAGCAGUGGGGAAUAUUGCACAAUGGGCGAAAGCCUGAUGCAGCAAUGCCGCGUGAGUGAUGAAGGCCUUAGGGUUGUAAAGCUCUUUUACCCGGGAUGAUAAUGACGGUACCCGGAGAAUAAGCUCCGGCUAACUCCGUG
This 433-nucleotide ribosomal RNA is filed under the name uncultured bacterium. RNAcentral's name for it is "partial 16S ribosomal RNA". It matches the Rfam family "Bacterial small subunit ribosomal RNA", at positions 29 to 507 of the family's 1533-position model. The record is from RNAcentral.